Molecule: transfer RNA, 74 nt
Filed under: bacterium
Lineage: Bacteria
Description: tRNA-Glu
Rfam family: tRNA
About the family: Transfer RNA (tRNA) molecules are approximately 80 nucleotides in length. Their secondary structure includes four short double-helical elements and three loops (D, anti-codon, and T loops).
Source: RNAcentral
GGGGUUGUAAUGCAAUGGUAGCAUAUCAGUUUUUCAAGCUGGAAACCUGGGUUCGAUUCCCAGUAGCCCUACCA